GAUGAACGCUGGCGGCGUGCCUAAUACAUGCAAGUCGAGCGAACAGAUGAGGAGCUUGCUCCUCUGACGUUAGCGGCGGACGGGUGAGUAACACGUGGAUAACCUACCUAUAAGACUGGGAUAACUUCGGGAAACCGGAGCUAAUACCGGAUAAUAUAUUUAACCGCAUGGUUCAAUAGUGAAAGACGGUUUUGCUGUCACUUAUAGAUGGAUCCGCGCCGCAUUAGCUAGUUGGUAAGGUAACGGCUUACCAAGGCAACGAUGCGUAGCCGACCUGAGAGGGUGAUCGGCCACACUGGAACUGAGACACGGUCCAGACUCCUACGGGAGGCAGCAGUAGGGAAUCUUCCGCAAUGGGCGAAAGAUUGACGGAGCAACGCCGCGUGAGUGAUGAAGGGCUUCGGAUCGUAAAACUCUGUUAUUAGGGAAGAACAAAUGUGUAAGUAACUAUGCACGUCUUGACGGUACCUAAUCAGAAAGCCACGGCUAACUACGUG
This 497-nucleotide ribosomal RNA is filed under the name uncultured bacterium. RNAcentral's name for it is "partial 16S ribosomal RNA". It matches the Rfam family "Bacterial small subunit ribosomal RNA", at positions 28 to 507 of the family's 1533-position model. The record is from RNAcentral.